UUUGCUUCAGCAGGACAUAUAAUUGGAAUAAUACAGGGUAAAUUAGUAUGGCCCCUGUGUAAAAAUGACAUCCAAUUUUGUAACAAAGCAUUCCAUAUUUUU
This 102-nucleotide small nuclear RNA is filed under the name Notamacropus eugenii (tammar wallaby). Lineage: Eukaryota; Metazoa; Chordata; Mammalia; Diprotodontia; Macropodidae. The record is from RNAcentral.